This 249-nucleotide unclassified non-coding RNA is filed under the name Hevea brasiliensis (rubber tree). The record is from RNAcentral. Lineage: Eukaryota; Viridiplantae; Streptophyta; Magnoliopsida; Malpighiales; Euphorbiaceae.
AAAAAAUUGAUGAAGAGGCUGGAAGGGAAGGAACAUUUUGGCCUGGUGAAUGGCUUCCAUCUGAUUUUCCUCAUGCCCGUCUGUUUAGUGUCAAGUACAAGAGCAGUCUAACCCAGUGGUCCGGGGCAAGCCUACCUCUUCAGGAAGUAAGUGCCAUGCUGUUGGAGAAGCUUGUUGCUGCAGGCAUCGGCAAUCGACCAGUUGUAUUCAUUUCACAUAGCAUGGGCGGCCUCGUUGUCAAGCAGAUGU